GCGUGCUAUAAUGCAGUCGAGCGAGCUGAUUCAAGAUUCCUUCGGGAUGAUUUGUUGGACGCUAGCGGCGGAUGGGUGAGUAACACGUGGGCAAUCUGCCCUAAAGACUGGGAUACCACUUGGAAACAGGUGCUAAUACCGGAUAACAACAUGAAUCGCAUGAUUCAAGUUUGAAAGGCGGCGCAAGCUGUCACUUUAGGAUGAGCCCGCGGCGCAUUAGCUAGUUGGUGGGGUAAAGGCCUACCAAGGCAAUGAUGCGUAUCCGAGUUGAGAGACUGAUCGGCCACAUUGGGACUGAGACACGGCCCAAUCUCCUACGGGAGGCAGCAGUAGGGAAUCUUCCACAAUGGACGCAAGUCUGAUGGAGCAACGCCGCGUGAGUGAAGAAGGUUUUCGGAUCGUAAAGCUCUGUUGUUGGUGAAGAAGGAUAGAGGCAGUAACUGGUCUUUAUUUGACGGUAAUCAACCAGAAAGUCACGGCUAACUACGUGCCAGCAGCCGCGGUAAUACGUAGGUGGCAAGCGUUGUCCGGAUUUAUUGGGCGUAAAGCGAGCGCAGGCGGAAUGAUAAGUCUGAUGUGAAAGCCCCGGCUCACC
This 595-nucleotide ribosomal RNA is filed under the name Lactobacillus delbrueckii subsp. bulgaricus. Its description in RNAcentral is "bacterial SSU rRNA". It matches the Rfam family "Bacterial small subunit ribosomal RNA", at positions 42 to 613 of the family's 1533-position model. Lineage: Bacteria; Bacillati; Bacillota; Bacilli; Lactobacillales; Lactobacillaceae. The record is from RNAcentral.